GAACAUGUUCCUCCACCUCGGCCAAAGAGAAAAGCAGCUCAUCCAUACCCACAAAAGGCACCUAAAAAUGCUCCAGUUGUCACCCAAGUGACUGGUCCAUUUCAAUCUUCAUCUGCCUCUUUAGAGCCUGGAUAUGUUUACAGAUCAGAUUCAUCAUCAGUUCUUGGGAAUUCAAUGGCUGGUGAAACUUUGACAAACUGGAGUUUUAACUCAAUACCUCCAGUCAAUGUGUCUCAAGUGACUAAAGAUGAUGUGGGAUUGGCUCAUCCAACAAUUGCACAUAAUUGCUGCUACAGUAGUAGCAAUGAGAGCACCCCAAGGGCUUGGCAAACUAAUGAAAUAAUUGACCAAGGAGAUCAAGGCAAGCCGAUGAGAGUUGUGCCAGAUUUUGCUCAAGUGUACAGCUUCAUUGGCAGUGUCUUUGAUCCCAAUGCCAGUGGUCACUUGCAGAAGUUGAAACAGAUGGACCCAAUAAAUUUGGAAACAGUAUUGCUGUUGAUGAGAAACCUCUCCAUUAAUUUGACGAGUCCCGAGUUUGAGGAUCAUAGAAGGUUGCUCAUGUCAUACAAUAUCGAGAAGGCAAAAUCUGUUGGCCCUUACAGCAAUUUUGUUGCUAAUAAAACUCAGAAUAUCCUUUCGGCUCCAAGAGAAGUGAGAGGCUGAAAAGUUUUUUUUGACUUCCUGUGUUAUAUGCAUAUGAUAACGUCUUGGGAAGCAUCUGUCCUUUGGUUGUUCACAACAAUAACUGCUGGGCUAAGGAAAAUAUCUGCAAGAACACUUUCAGAAUGAGUGGUGGUGUCAGAAGUUUGUAUAUAUUUGUGUGAUAUAAGAUGAUAUACUUUCUAGUGAUCUUCUGUGUGUGCGUGUGUGUGUAUACAGUUUUUGGUCUUUGGAAAUGUAGCAUAGUUUUAUGUUAAACGUUACGUUUCUCAGGCUAGUUGUAUACAGUUUUGAGUGUUAGUUUUUUAGCGUACAUUCCUGUUAGGUGUGCUUUUG
This 996-nucleotide unclassified non-coding RNA is filed under the name Hevea brasiliensis (rubber tree). Lineage: Eukaryota; Viridiplantae; Streptophyta; Magnoliopsida; Malpighiales; Euphorbiaceae. The record is from RNAcentral.